RNAcentral lists this ribosomal RNA (402 nucleotides) under uncultured bacterium. RNAcentral describes it as "bacterial SSU rRNA". It matches the Rfam family "Bacterial small subunit ribosomal RNA", at positions 357 to 776 of the family's 1533-position model. The record is from RNAcentral.
GGGAAUAUUGCGCAAUGGAGGAAACUCUGACGCAGUGACGCCGCGUAUAGGAAGAAGGUUUUCGGAUUGUAAACUAUUGUCGUGAGGGAAGAAAUUGACAGUACCUCAGGAGGAAGCUCCGGCUAACUAUGUGCCAGCAGCCGCGGUAAUACAUAGGGAGCAAGCGUUAUCCGGAUUUAUUGGGUGUAAAGGGUGCGUAGACGGGAAAUUAAGUUAGUUGUGAAAUCCCUCGGCUUAACUGAGGAACUGCAACUAAAACUGAUUUUCUUGAGUACUGGAGAGGAAAGUGGAAUUCCUAGUGUAGCGGUGGAAUGCGUAGAUAUAUGGAGGAACACCGGUGGCGAAAGCGGCUCUCUGGUCUGUAACUGACGCUGAGGCUCGAAAGCGUGGGUAGCGAACAGG